RNAcentral lists this ribosomal RNA (401 nucleotides) under uncultured bacterium. Its description in RNAcentral is "bacterial SSU rRNA". It matches the Rfam family "Bacterial small subunit ribosomal RNA", at positions 355 to 771 of the family's 1533-position model. The record is from RNAcentral.
UGGGGAAUCUUGGACAAUGGGGGCAACCCUGAUCCAGCGACGCCGCGUGGGUGAUGAAGGCCUUCGGGUUGUAAAGCCCUUUCACCGGGGACGAUGAUGACGGUACCCGGAGAAGAAGCACCGGCUAACUCCGUGCCAGCAGCCGCGGUAAGACGGAGGGUGCUAGCGUUGUUCGGAAUCACUGGGCGUAAAGGGCGCGUAGGCGGCGGGUCAAGUCGGCUUUGUGAAAGCCCGGGGCUCAACCCCGGAGGUGCGGCCGAGACUGAUCCGCUGGAGGCCGGAAGAGGAGGGUGGAAUACCCAGUGUAGAGGUGAAAUUCGUAGAUAUUGGGUGGAACACCGGUGGCGAAAGCGGCUCUCUGGUCCGGACCUGACGCUGAGGCGCGAAAGCGCGGGGAGCAA